This 253-nucleotide ribosomal RNA is filed under the name uncultured bacterium. Its description in RNAcentral is "partial 16S ribosomal RNA". It matches the Rfam family "Bacterial small subunit ribosomal RNA", at positions 524 to 776 of the family's 1533-position model. The record is from RNAcentral.
UACAGAGGUCCCAAGCGUUGUUCGGAUUCACUGGGCUUAAAGGGCGCGUAGGCGGUUUCCCAAGUCCGGGGUGAAAUCUUUCGGCUUAACCGGAAAAGUGCCUUGGAUACUGGGCGACUCGAGGGGGGUAGGGGCAAGCGGAACUUCCGGUGGAGCGGUGAAAUGCGUUGAUAUCGGAAGGAACGCCGGCGGCGAAAGCGGCUUGCUGGACCCCAUCUGACGCUGAUGCGCGAAAGCCAGGGGAGCGAACGGG